GUAGGGAAUAUUGCGCAAUGGACGAAAGUCUGACGCAGCGACGCCGCGUGAGUGAUGAAGGCCUUAGGGUCGUAAAGCUCUGUUGAAUGGGAAGAAAAAAAUGACGGUACCAUUCGAGGAAGGACCGGCUAACUUCGUGCCAGCAGCCGCGGUAAUACGAGGGGUCCUAGCGUUGUUCGGAAUCAUUGGGCGUAAAGGGUGUGUAGGUGGCCAUGUAAGUCAGGUGUGAAAGCCCCGGGCUCAACCCGGGAAGUGCACUUGAUACUGCGUGGCUUGAGUACCGAAGAGGGUAGUGGAAUUCCAGGUGUAGUGGUGAAAUACGUAGAUAUCUGGAGAAACACCGGUGGCGAAGGCGGCUACCUGGUCGAGUACUGACACUGAGACACGAAAGCAUGGGGAUCAAACAGGAUUAGAUACCCGUGUAGUCC
RNAcentral lists this ribosomal RNA (428 nucleotides) under uncultured bacterium. Its description in RNAcentral is "partial 16S ribosomal RNA". It matches the Rfam family "Bacterial small subunit ribosomal RNA", at positions 354 to 796 of the family's 1533-position model. The record is from RNAcentral.